Molecule: ribosomal RNA, 855 nt
Filed under: uncultured bacterium
Lineage: Bacteria
Description: bacterial SSU rRNA
Rfam family: Bacterial small subunit ribosomal RNA
Source: RNAcentral
AGAGUUUGAUUAUGGCUCAGGACGAACGCUGGCGGCGUGCCUAACACAUGCAAGUCGUGCGCCCAGCACUCAGUCCUCAGUGAUCGGUAGCGGGGGACAGUAGAGCGUAAAGAAGGUAUUUUUAUAAAGCCCCGUUACUGGUUAGCGAGGACUGAGUGCUGGGAGCGGCGGACGGGUGAGUAACGCGUGGAUAACCUACCCGUAAGACCGGGAUAACACCGGGAAACUGGUGCUAAUACCGGAUACGCUCCUUGGGGGGCAUCCUUCGGGGAGGAAAGGGGGCCUCUGGCGCAAGCUCCUGCUUACGGAUGGGUCCGCGUCCCAUUAGCUUGUUGGUGGGGUAACGGCCUACCAAGGCGACGAUGGGUAGCCGGCCUGAGAGGGUGGUCGGCCACACUGGGACUGAGACACGGCCCAGACUCCUACGGGAGGCAGCAGUGGGGAAUCUUGCGCAAUGGGCGAAAGCCUGACGCAGCAACGCCGCGUGCGGGAUGAAGGCUCUCGGGUCGUAAACCGCUUUCAGCAGGGAUGAAAAUGACAGUACCUGCAGAAGAAGCCCCGGCUAAAUACGUGCCAGCAGCCGCGGUAAUACGUAUGGGGCAAGCGUUAUCCGGAUUCAUUGGGCGUAAAGCGCGCGUAGGCGGCUUGUUAAGUCAGGCGUGAAAUCCGGGGGCUCAACCCGCGGCUUGCGUCUGAAACUGGCAGGCUUGAGUCUGGUAGAGGAAAGUGGAAUUCCUGGUGUAGCGGUGAAAUGCGCAGAUAUCAGAGGAACACCAGUGGCGAAGCGGCUUUCUGGGCCACGACUGACGCUGAGCGCGAAAGCUAGGGGAGCGACAGGAUAGAUACCCUGUAGUC